UUCUCUCUUCAUAGCUGGCCACCAAUAAACUUUCUUCAGAUCUUGAUACAUCUUGGUGGCUCCGGGGUGAACGUUGUAUCUUGCAUUAUGAGCCUCUCUCAUAAUGUCUCCUUUUAGCCCUAUAUCGUCUGGUACACACAAUCGGCUCCCAUAGCGGAGGAUCCCCUUAUUGUCGAAUCUGAACUCACUAUCUUUGCCUGACUGAACAAUCCUGGCAAUCUUCACUAACUCUGGGUCCUCAUGCUGUUUCUGAGCCACCUGCUCCAGAAACACGGGUGCCACUCUCAUCUGAGCAAUCAAUGCACCUGUACCAGACAACUCCAACUGUAG
This 330-nucleotide long non-coding RNA is filed under the name Manihot esculenta (cassava). RNAcentral describes it as "long non-coding RNA (MESC_LNC001710)". Lineage: Eukaryota; Viridiplantae; Streptophyta; Magnoliopsida; Malpighiales; Euphorbiaceae. The record is from RNAcentral.